AACAGGAUUAGAUACCCUGGUAGUCCACGCCGUAAACGAUGUCGACUUGGAGGUUGUGCCCUUGAGGCGUGGCUUCCGGAGCUAACGCGUUAAGUCGACCGCCUGGGGAGUACGGCCGCAAGGUUAAAACUCAAAUGAAUUGACGGGGGCCCGCACAAGCGGUGGAGCAUGUGGUUUAAUUCGAUGCAACGCGAAGAACCUUACCUACUCUUGACAUCCAGAGAACUUAGCAGAGAUGCUUUGGUGCCUUCGGGAACUCUGAGACAGGUGCUGCAUGGCUGUCGUCAGCUCGUGUUGUGAAAUGUUGGGUUAAGUCCCGCAACGAGCGCAACCCUUAUCCUUUGUUGCCAGCGAUUCGGUCGGGAACUCAAAGGAGUCUGCCAGUGAUAAACUGGAGGAAGGUGGGGAUGACGUCAAGUCAUCAUGGCCCUUACGAGUAGGGCUACACACGUGCUACAAUGGCAUAUACAAAGAGAAGCGACCUCGCGAGAGCAAGCGGACCUCAUAAAGUAUGUCGUAGUCCGGAUUGGAGUCUGCAACUCGACUCCAUGAAGUCGGAAUCGCUAGUAAUCGUGGAUCAGAAUGCCACGGUGAAUACGUUCCCGGGCCUUGUACACACCGCCCGUCACACCAUGGGAGUGGGUUGCAAAAGAAGUAGGCAGCUUAACCUUCGGGAGGGCGCUUACCACUUUGUGAUUCAUGACUGGGGUGAAGUCGUAACAAGGUAACC
This 730-nucleotide ribosomal RNA is filed under the name uncultured bacterium. Its description in RNAcentral is "bacterial SSU rRNA". It matches the Rfam family "Bacterial small subunit ribosomal RNA", at positions 771 to 1501 of the family's 1533-position model. The record is from RNAcentral.